UACGAAGGGAGCUAGCGUUGUUCGGAAUCACUGGGCGUAAAGCGCACGUAGGCGGCUGUGUCAGUCAGGGGUGAAAUCCCGGAGCUCAACUUCGGAACUGCCUUUGAUACAGCACGUCUUGAGUCCGAUAGAGGUGGGUGGAAUUCCUAGUGUAGAGGUGAAAUUCGUAGAUAUUAGGAAGAACACCGGUGGCGAAGGCGGCCCACUGGAUCGGUACUGACGCUGAGGUGCGAAAGCGUGGGGAGCAAACAGG
RNAcentral lists this ribosomal RNA (253 nucleotides) under uncultured bacterium. RNAcentral describes it as "partial 16S ribosomal RNA". It matches the Rfam family "Bacterial small subunit ribosomal RNA", at positions 524 to 776 of the family's 1533-position model. The record is from RNAcentral.